Long non-coding RNA from Quercus lobata, 836 nucleotides. RefSeq lists it as uncharacterized. The transcript is spliced from 3 exons. NCBI's taxonomy places the organism in Eukaryota, Viridiplantae, Streptophyta, Magnoliopsida, Fagales, Fagaceae. The record is from RefSeq and is a predicted model, not a curated record.
AUUAUAAAGCGAUGUCCCAAUUUGAUAUGUAUUCCGGAGCUACAAAAUUCGUGCAAUGUUACCCAAUUAGAAAUCAGCGAUUGUCCUAAUUUGGUAUCAACUCCAGAAUUGCAAUAUCCUACCAAAAUAAAAAUUAGAAAUGGUGGAAAGUUGACUUGUCUGCCAAAGUGGCGCUUUUCCGAGUUAAAGUAUUUGGACAUUGGUCCGUUUUGUGAGGAGCUGGAUGCUUUCCCCAGUCUCAUCGAUUCCACUCCCUUCCAACACUCGUACGAGUCCCUCCAAAUUCUACAGUUGUAUGGGUGGACUAAACUCAACUCUCUCCCAGACAAAAUUCAAAGCUUCACCGCCCUUACAAGACUGGACAUAUCUGAAUUUGACGGAAUGGAAGCUUUGCCUGAGUGGUUGGGCAACCUUUCUUCUCUUCAAUACCUGUACCUUUGCAACUGCAACAACCUGAUGUAUCUGCUCACAGCGCAAGCCAUGGGACGCAUCACCAAAUUAGAGAUUUAUUAUUGCUCCAAAUUAAAGGAAAGAUGUGCAAAGGUGAGUGGUGCAGAGUGGUCCAAAAUUGCCCAUAUUCCAAGUAUCUGGAUCGACGAUUAUCUUGAGGAAGCUAUUUGAAGAUCGUACAAAUUAUCAUUGGAGAAGAUGAGCGUUUUUCCAAAAUGGGUUGCCUGGAUGUGGAGAACUAGAAAUGGCAAUUUAAUUGCCCCAAAUUAAAGGAAAGAUGUGCAAAGGGGAGCAGCGCAGAGUGGUCCAACAUUUCCUACAUUCCAAAUAUCAGAAUCGAUUAUGAACAUAUCUACAGUUAUUCAUUUUUCUGUCACCAAAAAAAA